CCUACGGGAGGCAGCAGUGGGGAAUAUUUGACAAUGGGGGGAACCCUGAUCCAGCCAUGCCGCGUGUGUGAAGAAGGCCCUCGGGUUGUAAAGCACUUUCAGUGAGGAAGAACGCCUGGUGGUUAAUACCCAUCAGGAAAGACAUCACUCACAGAAGAAGCACCGGCUAACUCCGUGCCUGCAGCCGCGGUAAUACGGAGGGUGCGAGCGUUAAUCGGAAUUACUGGGCGUAAAGCGCGCGUAGGUGGCUUGAUAAGCCGGUUGUGAAAGCCCCGGGCUCAACCUGGGAACGGCAUCCGGAACUGUCAAGCUAGAGUGCAGGAGAGGAAGGUAGAAUUCCCGGUGUAGCGGUGAAAUGCGUAGAGAUCGGGAGGAAUACCAGUGGCGAAGGCGGCCUUCUGGACUGACACUGACACUGAGGUGCGAAAGCGUGGGUAGCAAACAGGAUUAGAUACCCCUGUAGUC
Molecule: ribosomal RNA, 465 nt
Filed under: Vreelandella stevensii
Lineage: Bacteria; Pseudomonadati; Pseudomonadota; Gammaproteobacteria; Oceanospirillales; Halomonadaceae
Description: partial 16S ribosomal RNA
Rfam family: Bacterial small subunit ribosomal RNA
Source: RNAcentral